CCUUCCAGCGGGGACUCUUGACUUGGGACUCGGACAGCUGCUUUCACUUGUUCUGCUGCUUGAUCUACUGGUCCAGCUCUUUAGUGAACACUUCAUCCAUGAUGCCA
This 107-nucleotide microRNA precursor is filed under the name Dasypus novemcinctus (nine-banded armadillo). RNAcentral's name for it is "miRNA (ENSDNOG00000033103.1)". The record is from RNAcentral. Lineage: Eukaryota; Metazoa; Chordata; Mammalia; Cingulata; Dasypodidae.